GGGUCAGUAGCUCAGCUGGUUAGAGCACCUGCCUUUUAAGCAGGGUGUCGUGGGUUCAAGCCCCACCUGACCCUCCA
RNAcentral lists this transfer RNA (77 nucleotides) under Candidatus Saccharimonadota bacterium. Its description in RNAcentral is "tRNA-Lys". It matches the Rfam family "tRNA". Rfam says of the family: Transfer RNA (tRNA) molecules are approximately 80 nucleotides in length. Their secondary structure includes four short double-helical elements and three loops (D, anti-codon, and T loops). The record is from RNAcentral. RNAcentral also lists the same sequence under 1 other name. Lineage: Bacteria; Candidatus Saccharimonadota.